RNAcentral lists this ribosomal RNA (437 nucleotides) under uncultured Sedimentibacter sp. Its description in RNAcentral is "partial 16S ribosomal RNA". It matches the Rfam family "Bacterial small subunit ribosomal RNA", at positions 341 to 792 of the family's 1533-position model. Lineage: Bacteria; Bacillati; Bacillota; Tissierellia. RNAcentral also lists the same sequence under 1 other name. The record is from RNAcentral.
ACGGGAGGCAGCAGUGAGGAAUAUUGCGCAAUGGGGGAAACCCUGACGCAGCGACGCCGCGUGAAGGAUGAAGGUCUUCGGAUUGUAAACUUCUGUCUUCAGGGAAGAAAUAAAUGACGGUACCUGGGGAGGAAGCCCCGGCUAACUACGUGCCAGCAGCCGCGGUAAUACGUAGGGGGCGAGCGUUGUCCGGAUUGAUUGGGUGUAAAGGGUGCGUAGGCGGAUAUGUAAGUCAAACGUGAAAACUACAGGCUUAACUUGUAGCUUGCGUUUGAAACUGUGUAUCUUGAGUGAAGUAGAGGUAAGUGGAAUUUCCAGUGUAGCGGUGAAAUGCGUAGAUAUUGGAAGGAACACCAGUGGCGAAGGCGACUUACUGGACUUUUACUGACGCUGAGGCACGAAAGCGUGGGUAGCAAACAGGAUUAGAUACCCUGGUA